This is a long non-coding RNA of Tetranychus urticae (two-spotted spider mite), 907 nucleotides long. RefSeq lists it as uncharacterized. NCBI's taxonomy places the organism in Eukaryota, Metazoa, Arthropoda, Arachnida, Trombidiformes, Tetranychidae. The record is from RefSeq and is a predicted model, not a curated record.
UGUCACAAAAGUACCUGAGUUUUAACGAUAUUCAAAUCUAUUUAUUGAUUAGUGACAAUUAAAGACUGUUGAACCAAUUAACAUUAAUUAGAGGGAAAUGAUUUCACUCUCAUUCUUGCAGUCCAACAAGAAAUUGGUUUAAUCAAGUCGUUUCCACAAACUUAUUAAGUACUUCUUUGAAUAUGUUUUUUAGCGCGAGAAGCAACGGAAAAAAUGCCCCCAAUGACCAUUUUUCAAGUUUGUUGAUUUCACUUUUAUUUUAUUGUGAUUAUGUGGAUGGUAAACAUCAAAGGCAAGAACCAGAAAGGCUCCUAGUCAACAUGGAAUCAACGUAUUCAUCUAAAUUGUAGGAUGGUUAAUUGAUUUGAAUGAAAUGUUGAAUUUUCGCUAAUAAAACGUCGUUGAAUUACAUCACAAAUUACGCAAAUUACCUACAAAGCAAGAAGUCAUCAUAUGGAUUUGGCCUUAACAAAUGACGAAUAAAAGAUGCUGAUUAAUUUGAUUACAAAUCGGUAUUACAGUGACACGCACAAAGCUUGUUACUGUAGCACAAAAUGUUCAUUUUGGUUUCCAAAAUUGAUUUCAAAAUCAAUGAAUCAACAACUUCCAUUAGUCUUCAUCUCAAAUCAUAGUCAUACUCAUAAAUAGGUUAUCAUGAUUUAAAGAUAAGGCGCAAAUCAUUGACAGCAACACUUUCUUCAAUAAAUCUGCAAUCACAAUAAACUCUGUGAUAAUUAAUAUAAUCAAGUGCAAUGAAAAAACCAGAAAAUAACCAACUACCAGAUUAUUUAAACAUGCAGAAAGGUUGAACCGUCCAAGUUGACUUGUUAACCAAAAUAUGAUGAACCAGUAAACCAAAAUGAUUAAUAUGAAUCAAAUUAAACCAACUAGAAUCGUGUUAUUUCAA